CAGCCGCCACGGUAAUACGUAGGUGGCAAGCGUUGUCCGGAAUUAUUGGGCGUAAAGGGCUCGCAGGCGGUUUCUUAAGUCUGGUGUGAAAGCCCCCGGCUCAACCGGGGAGGGUCAUUGGAAACUGGGAAACUUGAGUGCAGAAGAGGAGAGUGGAAUUCCACGUGUAGCGGUGAAAUGCGUAGAGAUGUGGAGGAACACCAGAGGCGAAGGCGACUCUCUGGUCUGUAACUGACGCUGAGGAGCGAAAGCGUGGGGAGCGAACAGGAUUAGAUACCCGAGUAGUCCCUGUCUCUUAUAA
Molecule: ribosomal RNA, 301 nt
Filed under: uncultured bacterium
Lineage: Bacteria
Description: partial 16S ribosomal RNA
Rfam family: Bacterial small subunit ribosomal RNA
Source: RNAcentral